GGAGCCCAAGCAACCCUAGCGAAGGUUGUGGUAGAUUCGGGCGCGGGAGGCGGCCAUAAGCUGCCGUCAUUCUGCCGAGUGGUGAGUAAACUGUGCCAGUGUCGGGAGAGGAGACCGGGAAGCUGUGUGUGCUGACCGGGUAUUCAGUUGCACCCCCGAGGGGAAUACCUGGCUGAAUUUUUUGAGUUUAAUUUCAGAAUUACUGCCGAUUUACAAGGUCCAAGAUGGAAAGUCAUAAACCAAGUACUAACAAAGAUGAUUUAAUAUUUAAUAUCAUACCCAGAAAAAUCAAACAACUUCCAGAAUCAGACAGGAAUCUGCUUGAAUAUGGAUCAGCAUAUAUUGGACUUAAUGCUGCUUUUGGGGGCCUAAUAGCAAACAGUCUAUUUCGGCGAAUUUUGAACGUGACACAAGCUCGAGUAGCAUCUAGCUUGCCAAUGGCUGUGAUCCCAUUUUUGACAGCAAACCUGUCCUACCAUAGUUUUGUAAGUUUACCUUUGAGUACAGGUAAUUUGAACUGUGAAAUCUGUACGACAACACGGGGUACACUAGUUGGUUUUGUUCUGGGUGGUCUGUACCCCAUCCUUUUGGCUAUACCCGUGAAUGGGGGCCUUGCUGCCAGGUAUGAAUCAAGUCCUCUACCACAGAGGGGAAACAUCUUCAAUUACUGGAUUACUAUUUCUAAGCCUGUCUUUAGAAAAAUGUUAUUUCCUACUUUACUUCAGACUGCUUUUGCAGCAUAUCUUGGGUCUAGACAAUAUAAACUCCUCAUAAAGGCCCUUCAGUUACCUGAACCUGAUUUAGAAAUUCAAUGAUUUGAAGCAAACAUGUACAAAAAUAAAAUGUUGAAAAUU
Molecule: long non-coding RNA, 854 nt
Filed under: Rattus norvegicus (Norway rat)
Lineage: Eukaryota; Metazoa; Chordata; Mammalia; Rodentia; Muridae
Description: long non-coding RNA NONRATT000945
Source: RNAcentral